AGUCAGUGGGCGCACUAAACCCAGAGGCGUAAUGAAAGUGACACGGGUUCGGCUGUCGCCUCGUGUGGCAGCCGGACUCAGGGCCGAUCCCUCACCGGUUGCCCUCGCCUCUCUCCCGCGUCUCGGUAAGCCGGGUGAGCUAUUUUCCCCGGCCGCAGCAGCGGGCUCGGGGGGAGGCGGGGUGCGAUGGUGUCCGUAAAAAAGAGCCUGCUGUUGCAGGGGGCGCAGGCCCGGGACUUGCCAGGACGCCGCGAGACUGUCACUUUGCUGUGAGGCUCUAGGGUCGAUCAGCGGGUCAUGCGAGCAGUCGGCAAGUACCAUGAGCAGACAUGUUGGGACCCGAAAGAUGGUGAACUAUGCCUGGCCAGGAUGAAGCCAGAGGAAACUCUGGUGGAGGUCCGUAGCGAUUCUGACGUGCAAAUCGAUCGUCGGAGCUGGGUAUAGGGGCGAAAGACUAAUCGAACCAUCUAGUAGCUGGUUCCCUCCGAAGUUUCCCUCAGGAUAGCUGGAACUCGUGGGAUGAAUUUCAUCCGGUAAAGCGAAUGAUUAGAGGCCUUGGGGACGAAACGUCCUCAACCUAUUCUCAAACUUUAAAUGGGUGAGAUGCCGAGCUUGCUUGAACGCUGAAGCAACGGCGACUAAUCUGAGUAUCUAGUGGGCCAUUUUUGGUAAGCAGAACUGGCGCUGUGGGAUGAACCAAACGUCGAGUUAAGGGGCCUAAAUGAAUGCUCAUUCAGAUCCC
Molecule: ribosomal RNA, 742 nt
Filed under: Procambarus clarkii (red swamp crayfish)
Lineage: Eukaryota; Metazoa; Arthropoda; Malacostraca; Decapoda; Cambaridae
Description: eukaryotic LSU rRNA
Rfam family: Eukaryotic large subunit ribosomal RNA
Source: RNAcentral